RNAcentral lists this ribosomal RNA (253 nucleotides) under uncultured bacterium. RNAcentral's name for it is "partial 16S ribosomal RNA". It matches the Rfam family "Bacterial small subunit ribosomal RNA", at positions 524 to 776 of the family's 1533-position model. The record is from RNAcentral.
UACGGAGGAUCCAAGCGUUAUCCGGAAUCAUUGGGUUUAAAGGGUCCGUAGGCGGUUUAUUAAGUCAGUGGUGAAAUCUGGUCGCUCAACGAUCAAACGGCCAUUGAUACUGAUAGACUUGAAUUACUGGGAAGUAACUAGAAUAUGUAGUGUAGCGGUGAAAUGCUUAGAUAUUACAUGGAAUACCAAUUGCGAAGGCAGGUUACUACCAGUGGAUUGACGCUGAUGGACGAAAGCGUGGGGAGCGAACAGG